GGAGAGGUGACCGAGCGGCUGAAGGUGCUCGCCUGCUAAGCGAGUGAGGGGGCAACUCCUCCGAGGGUUCGAAUCCCUCCCUCUCCGCCA
RNAcentral lists this transfer RNA (90 nucleotides) under Gemmatimonadota bacterium. Its description in RNAcentral is "Gemmatimonadetes bacterium tRNA-Ser". It matches the Rfam family "tRNA". Rfam says of the family: Transfer RNA (tRNA) molecules are approximately 80 nucleotides in length. Their secondary structure includes four short double-helical elements and three loops (D, anti-codon, and T loops). Further hydrogen bonds mediate the characteristic L-shaped molecular structure. tRNAs have two regions of fundamental functional importance: the anti-codon, which is responsible for specific mRNA codon recognition, and the 3' end, to which the tRNAs corresponding amino acid is attached (by aminoacyl-tRNA synthetases). tRNAs cope with the degeneracy of the genetic code in two manners: having more than one tRNA (with a specific anti-codon) for a particular amino acid; and 'wobble' base-pairing, i.e. permitting non-standard base-pairing at the 3rd anti-codon position. The record is from RNAcentral. Lineage: Bacteria; Pseudomonadati; Gemmatimonadota.